AACUUAACUGGACUGAAGGGGGUCCCAGGUAUCAGCAAGGUUUAAAAGCUACCCAGGUGAUUGCAAUGCACAGCCCAGGAGGAGAACCACUGACUUAAGCAAAUCUAAAUGGGGAUUUUGUUCCCCUAACUCAGCAUCCAAACCUGCCUCGCCACACCACAGCCUAUUUGAGAAAAAGCCAGAGGGAUAUGCAGCAGUCUGUGGACUGAGUGGUUUAAUACGCCCCUGUGAAGAUAGUCAGACUGCCAGCAGACCACUCAGGACAUGCUCCUCCUGACCUGCAACUUCCGUGACAGCAUGGGCCUGCUACCUGGACUCAAGACAGAAAAACAGCCCUGCAGGGAAAAGCGGACAUGACUAGCAACAAAGCCUUUUAAUCAAAAUUUCAUGCCGGAGCCCUCUCUACAAAACAGAUAACAGUGGCGCUGCAGUGGUUGGAGCAGAGCUCAGAGAUCUGCAAGAGCUUUGGUGAUAGGAGCUGUUGGCCUAGGUCUCAAUACCAAACACAUGAAAAACGCCACCGAACGCAGACUGAGGACCCUGUCACAGGGCAUGCCUGACUCUUGGUGGAGUAAAAAGAGCAAGGAUUUCACAGGCAAACUGAUUUCAGUGUCAAGUCUCCCACUUGCUCACUGUGUGCACUGAGGAGGUAAUCAAUAUUCCCAAGCCUCAUGUUCUUCACCUGGGGAAGAGUCAUCCCACAGCUGCCAGGUGAGCCUGCUGUGAGGAUUAACUCAGGUACCCUCAGUGAAUGACGGGUCACAGUGCCCAGCACGCAGUAGGGACUCGGGCCGUUUCCUUCUAGGAGGCCCUUGCCGACCUACAUGCUCUUCUGCUAAGACAGACAUGUUCUUAUCUCCUCAGAGGCUAUAAAUUCCAUUUGUCUUCUUAAGUCCAGCUCAUGCCUUUAGCCCUUGAGGGCUGGCACUACUCCCUCAAACAUUUAGCACUUUCUAUUCAGUUAGCACGACACCAAGACCUUAAAAGCAGCUUGAAAAUAAACUUGAUUCCAAAUAUGAUUUAUAAUGUCCCAAGCAACAGCUCAUUUACCCAAGAAAGCUCCAUCAAUUAUUGACAGAUGUACCCUCGGAGGAGAAAUAGCAUAAAGACUUAGGAGACAGAGGAAAAAAGCAUGCUUCAACCCCUUAAGCCAAUUAUCCAAGGUGAUUUUGAGCAUUAAAUCCUUAGAUAUGCUUAAUUUACUGUCCUUGCCUGUAAGCACAGACAGAAGUGUGAAGAGGGAAAAAAAUGCUAAGCAAUUUAGGACUGCUUUUAAAAACAAAGAAAAAGAACAGCAUAGAGGGAAAAAAUACCCAGGAGGCAGUAAGUGAGUGUUGGACACGUGCGGGCUUGUGGGCUGAGCAUCACAGGCUUAAACACGCCUUGCCCUCUCAUUGCAGAGCCAGCCACUCGCCACCUGUCUUUGUUCAGUGCAGAAAUAAUUGCGCUUACCUGCCUCUGACCUAAUAAUUACAGCAGUGCCUGAUUUUAUUCUCAGCAUGUUUAUUGUGGUCAAAUUUCCUCAGUUUUCAGUGCAAAGGCCUUACUAAGGAUGCUAGCAUUAUUUGCUUUAACAUCAAGCUGGUGACAAGGCGAUGUAAGGUUCUGUAAAAAGCCAAGAGGCCAGGGUGCAUGCGGCCUUGGGGGCUUGUAAUCUGCAUUUGACAUGCUGAUGUUCGAAAACCUUGUCAAGCCUACAAGGUUUACGUGUGAGGGAAGAAAGGGAGUGCAUGAGGCCAAUAAAUUUGAGGAUGCUAAUCUAUUUCUCCAUAGUUUUCUCAAAAGGAGAAAAAUAAAAGAGUUUUUUUCUAAAAUGCAAAUUAUAAGGCAAAAGGCAACCAAUUAUGCCUACCUAGCUUUAAUUUGCAUGUACUGAGGAGUAAAUGUGUCCGUGUGUGUGAACACGCACGUAUAUGAGCACUGCAUGUAUGCUGUGGAUGAGUAUGGGUAGAUGGAAGUCAAGAAACACAGGGGCAUGGACAAGAGGUCUAACAUAUAUACAAUUUUUGCAUGAUGAACUGAACAUUUCUAUAUUGAGAAAAUGAAUUCUGCCAUAGGAGACCUGAAAAAUUACUACCCCGACUUAAUGCAAUCUGCGGUUUAAAGGACAGUUAUAGAACACUCUAAAAUUACCUGCUUAUACCCCAUGACCUGGCAGAAUAAUUAUAGGCUAGAUUCUUUCAUCUUUUUUACACUUUUGUUUUAUUAAGAAUUAAGAGAUUCACUGUAUUCGAUUAUUAAAAGCCUGACCUCUUAUAGCAUAUAUUUUCAUCCCAUUAUUAAACUGUGUAUAUAAAAUACAGUAAGCCUUGACUUUGAAUUUUAUAGUUUUAACUUCUAAAUUUUAGAUUCAAAUCAACAUUUGAGUGCCAAUUGGUGCCAGAUACUGUCCAAGUGCUUUUUUUUCUUUUUUGAUGCAAGUGCUUUUAAAGGCACUGCCUCAUUCGAUAGUCUUCCAAUUCCAAUCUAGCACACCUUCCACCGAACUACAACCCUCUAUCUUUGCCUUGUCAUCAAGUCUUUGAGGGAUUUUGAGACAGGGGAGAAGCAGAGGAGCAGUGGCAGCCUUAUUGGUAAUCAAGAAUGGUGUAUCACUGGCUUGCUAUCAGAGGGCUAUGCCCUUAUUCUUUGGGGAUUCCCAUUUCUCUAAAUGUGAAACUGAAGCAAGAAUCCAGGAUCCUUAAUCAACUUGCAAAAAUAUUGUCAGGGAUCUUAAGUACUUUGAACCCCUUUGAGAUUUCCUUUAUAUUCAAGGUGCAACUCUAAGCAAAACAAACCAUCAAUGAACACGUAUCCUUGGACAAUGGAUGAGCUUUUGAUGACUAGUUGUUUCAACAAUGCUGCAGUUGCUUCAGAUCUUGCGUUAGGAGAGAGGAGUAGCCUGGAGCAGGGAGAGUCCUCUCUGGAAUUACCAUCAUCCUUGGAACACAUUCUUAACAUCCUCAAAGGUUCAUUCUUUAAGGGAUGGAAAACUUUUACCCUUGGGGAUCAAACUGGAUGAUGUCAUAUGGUAUCAACAUAUAAAAUGUGAUUACAAAGUAACUUAUUAUCUUGUUAACUUGUAGGCUGUUUUUGAACACAAUUGCAAAAGGGAAUUCCAAAAUAUUUUAGGUAACUAAAGGAUCCUGGAACAGAAAAAAAAUAAUUAGUGGAAAAAUUGGUAAAAUCCAAAUAAAGUCUGUACAUUAGUUGAUA
Equus asinus (donkey) is the source of this 3195-nucleotide long non-coding RNA. NCBI's taxonomy places the organism in Eukaryota, Metazoa, Chordata, Mammalia, Perissodactyla, Equidae. The record is from Ensembl.